GGGUCUGUAGCUCAGUAGGUUUAGAGCGUUGGUUUGAAACACCAAAGGUCGAGGGUUCGAUUCCCUCUGGACCCA
Molecule: transfer RNA, 75 nt
Filed under: Serratia phage BF
Lineage: Duplodnaviria; Heunggongvirae; Uroviricota; Caudoviricetes
Also listed under: 2 other names
Rfam family: tRNA
About the family: Transfer RNA (tRNA) molecules are approximately 80 nucleotides in length.
Source: Rfam by way of RNAcentral